Molecule: ribosomal RNA, 507 nt
Filed under: Bradysia placida
Lineage: Eukaryota; Metazoa; Arthropoda; Insecta; Diptera; Sciaridae
Description: partial small subunit ribosomal RNA
Source: RNAcentral
GUCUUUUUGUAUUAAAUAUAAAGUCUAACCUGCCCAUUGAUAUAAAUUUAAAAGGCUGCGGUAUAUUGACCGUACAAAGGUAGCAUAAUCAUUAGUUUUUUAAUUGAAAACUUGUAUGAAUGGUUGAAUGAGAAAUUGACUUUUUUUUAUAAAAUAUUGAAUUUUAUUUUUUAGUUAAAAAGCUAAAAUUCAUUUAAAAGACGAGAAGACCCUAUAGAGUUUAAUAAUUUAUUUUUAUUAUGACAGAAGUUUAUAAAUAUUAUUAAAAAUAUAAUUAUUUUAUUGGGGUGAUAUUAAAAUUUGAUUAACUUUUAUUUAUUAUAAAUAUUUAUAUAUAAAUAAUUGAUCCAAUUAUAUUGAUUAAAAAUUUAAAUUACCUUAGGGAUAACAGCGUAAUUUUUUUUUAAGUUCUUAUUAAUAAAAGAUUUUGCGACCUCGAUGUUGGAUUAAGAUUAAAUUUUAGGUGCAGCAGCUUAAAUUUUAAGUCUGUUCGACUUUUAAAUUCUU